Molecule: small nuclear RNA, 161 nt
Organism: Chionomys nivalis (European snow vole)
Lineage: Eukaryota; Metazoa; Chordata; Mammalia; Rodentia; Cricetidae
Product: U1 spliceosomal RNA
Exons: 1
Source: RefSeq, a predicted model, not a curated record
AAAGCAGAAGAGACACCAUGAUCAGGUGCAUGGGCUUUCCCAGGCUGAGGCUCACCCAUUGCACUUGGGGUGUGCUGACCUCUGUGUUUUCGCUCCCAAGUGCGGGGAAACUGGACUGCAUAAUUUGUGGCAGUAGGGAACUGUGUUCGCGCUCUCCCCUG